Molecule: ribosomal RNA, 535 nt
Filed under: Curvularia lunata
Lineage: Eukaryota; Fungi; Ascomycota; Dothideomycetes; Pleosporales; Pleosporaceae
Description: eukaryotic LSU rRNA
Rfam family: 5.8S ribosomal RNA (bases 174-327)
Source: RNAcentral
AGGGAUCAUUACACAAAUUAAAAUAUGAAGGCUUCGGCUGGAUUAUUUUUAUCACCCUUGUCUUUUGCGCACUUGUUGUUUCCUGGGCGGGUUCGCCCGCCACCAGGACCACACCAUAAACCUUUUUUAUGCAGUUGCAAUCAGCGUCAGUAUAACAAAUGUAAAUCAUUUACAACUUUCAACAACGGAUCUCUUGGUUCUGGCAUCGAUGAAGAACGCAGCGAAAUGCGAUACGUAGUGUGAAUUGCAGAAUUCAGUGAAUCAUCGAAUCUUUGAACGCACAUUGCGCCCUUUGGUAUUCCAAAGGGCAUGCCUGUUCGAGCGUCAUUUGUACCUUCAAGCUUUGCUUGGUGUUGGGCGUCUUUUUGUCUUUGGCCUCGCCCAAAGACUCGCCUUAAAACGAUUGGCAGCCGGCCUACUGGUUUCGCAGCGCAGCACAUUUUUGCGCUUGCAAUCAGCAAAAAGGACGGCAAUCCAUCAAGACUACAUUUUUACGUUUGACCUCGGAUCAGGUAGGGAUACCCGCUGAACUUAA